AGAGUGCCAAGUGGCACUCUGCGUGGCUAAUUUUGUGCACCUAAUCUAAUUAGGACAUUUAAUAGAGAUUUGAAUUAAAUGAGUAAAAUCUAAGGGGGGUUAAAAAUCAAAAUUAGGAUUCUAACAUCAUAAUUAAAUAGGUAAAACUGCUCAGCCUCAAUUUUUCCCCUAUUAACCUUCAAUUUCAGCAUGAAUUAUCAUUUAGCUUUUGAUUCUGGUAAAACAAAUUAGGGUUCUAUAAAAUUCUAGGGUUGUGUAAAACUCUAGGUUGUAUAAAAUUCUAGGGUUCAUGGAGAAAUGAAGAAGGAAAAAGGGGAAGAAAAUCUGAGAAAUAAUGAAAAAGUAAAGAAGAAAG
Long non-coding RNA from Lycium ferocissimum, 355 nucleotides. RefSeq lists it as uncharacterized. The record is from RefSeq and is a predicted model, not a curated record. Lineage: Eukaryota; Viridiplantae; Streptophyta; Magnoliopsida; Solanales; Solanaceae. The transcript has 2 exons.